GUUUGACUUUCAAAUGGUUCUACAGAAAGCCAUCACUGAAAGGGUUAAGCACCUAUAUACUUCAGACUCACAAGCUAAUUUCUCAGCUCUUCAAUUUGCCUGAGCAGAGGGGUACAAAGUCUGAACCCUUUGCACUGUGCUGAGUACAAGCUGGUGCUUGCUAAAUGAUUGCUAAACGAUGCCUGUAAGUCCUCAGGGACGUGCAUUCAGGUCAUCCUGAAGAGGUCAACAACCACAUCUUCCAGGAACAAAGCCCAACAAAGACUGUUAGGGUAGGAAGGCAGCUAAGAGAACGAUGGAUGGAAUAGACAGUUGGAAGUAAUGAAGGAAGCAGAGGCAGUUCAUUAAUACCAUCAAAAUCCCUUACUGAAUGUCAACAGCCUCAUCAGCUAGCAUUUUGAGUAAAUAUCCAGUAUGCGUCACAGAGUUAAAAUAAAAUGGACUUUCUUCAAAGGAAGUACUUUUAAUACAAUAACUGUUUUUGUUUUCUUUUUUAACCAACGGAUUAAAAAUUUAACACAUUUACUAAA
This is a long non-coding RNA of Choloepus didactylus (southern two-toed sloth), 530 nucleotides long. RefSeq lists it as uncharacterized. The record is from RefSeq and is a predicted model, not a curated record. Lineage: Eukaryota; Metazoa; Chordata; Mammalia; Pilosa; Megalonychidae. The transcript is spliced from 3 exons.